GCUUAAGUGGUUUAGUGGUAAAAUCGCUGCUUGCCAUGCAGUGGCCCCGUGUUCGAUUCACGGCUUAAGCA
Molecule: transfer RNA, 71 nt
Organism: Sistotremastrum niveocremeum HHB9708
Lineage: Eukaryota; Fungi; Basidiomycota; Agaricomycetes; Sistotremastrales; Sistotremastraceae
Rfam family: tRNA
About the family: Transfer RNA (tRNA) molecules are approximately 80 nucleotides in length.
Source: Rfam